Molecule: ribosomal RNA, 496 nt
Filed under: uncultured bacterium
Lineage: Bacteria
Description: partial 16S ribosomal RNA
Rfam family: Bacterial small subunit ribosomal RNA
Source: RNAcentral
GAUGAACGCUGGCGGCGUGCCUAAUACAUGCAAGUCGAGCGAACAGACGAGGAGCUUGCUCCUCUGACGUUAGCGGCGGACGGGUGAGUAACACGUGGAUAACCUACCUAUAAGACUGGGAUAACUUCGGGAAACCGGAGCUAAUACCGGAUAAUAUAUUGAACCGCAUGGUUCAAUAGUGAAAGACGGUUUUGCUGUCACUUAUAGAUGGAUCCGCGCCGCAUUAGCUAGUUGGUAAGGUACGGCUUACCAAGGCAACGAUGCGUAGCCGACCUGAGAGGGUGAUCGGCCACACUGGAACUGAGACACGGUCCAGACUCCUACGGGAGGCAGCAGUAGGGAAUCUUCCGCAAAGGGCGAAAGCCUGACGGAGCAACGCCGCGUGAGUGAUGAAGGUCUUCGGAUCGUAAAACUCUGUUAUUAGGGAAGAACAAAUGUGUAAGUAACUAUGCACGUCUUGACGGUACCUAAUCAGAAAGCCACGGCUAACUACGUG